GCGCUUGUAGCUCAGCUGGAUAGAGCAACGGACUUCUAAUCCGUAGGUCGGGGGUUCGAAUCCCUCCAAGCGCGCCA
RNAcentral lists this transfer RNA (77 nucleotides) under Bacillota bacterium. RNAcentral's name for it is "tRNA-Arg". It matches the Rfam family "tRNA". Rfam says of the family: Transfer RNA (tRNA) molecules are approximately 80 nucleotides in length. Their secondary structure includes four short double-helical elements and three loops (D, anti-codon, and T loops). RNAcentral also lists the same sequence under 2 other names. Lineage: Bacteria; Bacillati; Bacillota. The record is from RNAcentral.